ACUGGAGGACUAAGAAGACUGAGUCUGAUGAAGCAAGACUCUGCUGAUAUAAUCCUCCUAGACAAAAGGGGUGGAGAGAGCAGCCCUUAUGGAGAGCAGACUAGGAUGUCUGCCCAGCAAAU
Molecule: non-coding RNA, 122 nt
Organism: Echinops telfairi (small Madagascar hedgehog)
Lineage: Eukaryota; Metazoa; Chordata; Mammalia; Afrosoricida; Tenrecidae
Product: small Cajal body-specific RNA 4
Exons: 1
Source: RefSeq, a predicted model, not a curated record